UGUAUAUGUAUUGAAUUUAACAAUAUUACAGUAUGAGGAAGCAGAAAUUAAAAUAUUGGUUAUACAAUAAGUUCAUAUAAUAAAACAAUAAAAUAUAUAAAAUGGUUUUGUUUACAUGUCCAUAAUAAAGGUAUUGACUUUCUAAAAUGUUAAUUACGGUACAUGAAAUUAUAUACACAUGAUAGAUUUGUUUACAAAAUACCUCAUUAUUUUCAUAUUUUUAUUAUAUAUUUUUUUUUCAAUUAACAUAUCUUUUUAGUAUUAGCGUUUUAAAACGUCAGUUACAACAUAUAAAUUUGAUAUAUUUUGCACUCAAACAAUUUCUAAUAUAAUUUGUAAUUCUGUAUAAUAAUGGAUUUUAAAAUAAUAAUAAAACCAGUACUGCAAGUACAUGUUCUUAAGGUGCAUACACUUCGGAUUUUGGAAUACGGAAAUAUUCUCAGGAAAAUAACAAAAAACAUCUGAUACCAACAUUUGACCAAAAAAUUCACAUAAGAUAUAAAAACUCUGCAGCUGCCACUUGAAACCCGCUUCAAAAUAUACAAUCGUGCACAUGUAUUAUCGUGUUCUUGCUUUUUAUUUAAAGGAAGGAUGUAAUUAGGAAAUUGUCUACAACGGUAAAACCGGUUACCUGUCAAUUGAGCUUUGUAUUCAUAGCAUUUUCCGUGACAGUUCAUAUUCAACCAACUACGCUCAUUUGUUAAAAAAGUUUCAAUUACAAUGGUUACAGAGUUCUUCUUCAUUGCAAUAUAAACAAAACAUGCAAACCAAAUUAAAAUAAAUUAUAUGAUCGUUCAGUGUUUGUCAAAUAAUUGUAGAAUUCCUGAUAUUGAUCAUGUUGAUCAACUCGAACAUGGUACAAAACUUGCCAUUUGUCUCAUGCUAAAUACAUUUAACAACAUUGAUCUAUGUAUGGAAUGAAUUGUAGGUUACAUUAAUAAGUGCGUAAGACCUUGUCGGAGAUAAAAAAAAAAACGAAAACAUUAUUCGCUAUGUGAAAAUAUAUAAAAUACACUUAAUUUGGUGCACAAAUUCAUAUCGGAAACAGGUUUU
RNAcentral lists this long non-coding RNA (1053 nucleotides) under Mytilus galloprovincialis (Mediterranean mussel). Lineage: Eukaryota; Metazoa; Mollusca; Bivalvia; Mytilida; Mytilidae. The record is from RNAcentral.